UCGCAAAUAUAUUUUAAAAAAAUUAAUGGAAAAUCAAAUAUAAUCACUUUUCAUUUUCGUUUCUCACACUCUGUGAACACCCAGAAAAACCCUACAGCCAUCCUCUUCACCUCAGGGCACCGCCGUCUUCAUCCCAACACCAUCCUCUUCACCCUAACGCCGCCAACGUCUUCAGCCCAACACCAUCCUCUUCACCCCAACGCCACCACCGUCUCAGCCUCUCUCUCUUUUUUCUGCAAAUCAACACAUCAAAACAACUUGUAUUGCCUUGUUAGAUUUGUCUAUCAUUGUCUUCGCUCAUCUUCUGAAGCAAUACACAAAUUAAUCUUUCCAAAAUCCAGCCAUGGUAGCUCUGUUAGUUCUUGUACCUGUUGGAUACUUGCAGCAUCUGUGAAAAGGAUUCUGGAAAGACAAGCAGCCACAAGUCUCAUCUGUUAGUGUAAAUUUAACAACAGAAACAACAAUAGUCUGGCCUGUAUCUGAAGCAAAAACUGCACCAAAUUGGCAAAAGAAAUUAGGGAAGACACUUGCAGAACAUUUAACUAGCAGUGGUUUCAAUUCUUGCCUUCGAGGUAUCUUUUUUAGGUUAUUAUGUAGUGUACUUUUACUUUCAUGUUUUGGUGUUUGUUGUUUGAGAAAAGGAUUUUCCUUGCUACUUACUGAUUAUCUAGUUCCUUGCUUUAUGCAUAAUCAUCAUAUAAAUUACAUGUUUGGUUGCUUAAUUAGUAUUUAGAUUUAGAUUUGACUUGAAAUUGAAUGAAAUGAAACAUAAUUUUGGAAAAUUCUGCUAUACAUUCUGUUACACAUAGCUGUACCUUAAUUUUGG
Molecule: long non-coding RNA, 826 nt
Organism: Vicia villosa (hairy vetch)
Lineage: Eukaryota; Viridiplantae; Streptophyta; Magnoliopsida; Fabales; Fabaceae
Exons: 3
Source: RefSeq, a predicted model, not a curated record